This 253-nucleotide ribosomal RNA is filed under the name uncultured bacterium. Its description in RNAcentral is "partial 16S ribosomal RNA". It matches the Rfam family "Bacterial small subunit ribosomal RNA", at positions 524 to 776 of the family's 1533-position model. The record is from RNAcentral.
UACGUAGGCAGCAAGCGUCGUUCGGAAUUACUGGGCGUAAAGAGUGUGUAGGCGGUGUUCUAAGUUUGUCGUGAAAUCUCCCGGCUUAACUGGGAGGGUGCGGCGAAAACUGGAAUGCUAGAGGAUGGGAGAGGUAAGCGGAAUUCCUGGUGUAGCGGUGAAAUGCGUAGAUAUCAGGAGGAACACCGGUGGCGAAGGCGGAUCUCUGGGCCUUACCUGACGCUGAGGCGCGAAAGCUAGGGGAGCGAACAGG